UGGCGUCAACCAUCUGAUCAAUCCUCGAUAGAGGAUAGCUAUCAUUUAGACAAGCCUUGUUAAAGUUGGUGAAGUCAAUGCAGAUCCACCAUUUGCCAUUCACCUACUUCACUAUGACCACAUUAGAUAUCCACUCCGAGUAGGUUAUCUCCUUAAUAAAUCUGCUUGGAGCAGCUUGUCGACCUCCUUGGCUAUUGCC
Molecule: long non-coding RNA, 199 nt
Filed under: Elaeis guineensis (African oil palm)
Lineage: Eukaryota; Viridiplantae; Streptophyta; Magnoliopsida; Arecales; Arecaceae
Description: long non-coding RNA (EGUI_LNC046961)
Source: RNAcentral